This 681-nucleotide ribosomal RNA is filed under the name Arthrobacter sp. Its description in RNAcentral is "bacterial SSU rRNA". It matches the Rfam family "Bacterial small subunit ribosomal RNA", at positions 332 to 1016 of the family's 1533-position model. The record is from RNAcentral. Lineage: Bacteria; Bacillati; Actinomycetota; Actinomycetes; Micrococcales; Micrococcaceae.
UUUACUCUUACGGGAGGCAGCAGUGGGGAAUAUUGCACAAUGGGCGAAAGCCUGAUGCAGCGACGCCGCGUGAGGGAUGACGGCCUUCGGGUUGUAAACCUCUUUCAGUAGGGAAGAAGCCCUCUUUGGGGGUGACGGUACUUGCAGAAGAAGCGCCGGCUAACUACGUGCCAGCAGCCGCGGUAAUACGUAGGGCGCAAGCGUUAUCCGGAAUUAUUGGGCGUAAAGAGCUCGUAGGCGGUUUGUCGCGUCUGCUGUGAAAGACCGGGGCUCAACUCCGGUUCUGCAGUGGGUACGGGCAGACUAGAGUGCAGUAGGGGAGACUGGAAUUCCUGGUGUAGCGGUGAAAUGCGCAGAUAUCAGGAGGAACACCGAUGGCGAAGGCAGGUCUCUGGGCUGUAACUGACGCUGAGGAGCGAAAGCAUGGGGAGCGAACAGGAUUAGAUACCCUGGUAGUCCAUGCCGUAAACGUUGGGCACUAGGUGUGGGGGACAUUCCACGUUUUCCGCGCCGUAGCUAACGCAUUAAGUGCCCCGCCUGGGGAGUACGGCCGCAAGGCUAAAACUCAAAGGAAUUGACGGGGGCCCGCACAAGCGGCGGAGCAUGCGGAUUAAUUCGAUGCAACGCGAAGAACCUUACCAAGGCUUGACAUGGACCGGAAAGACCUGAAACAGGGCCCCC